This 468-nucleotide ribosomal RNA is filed under the name uncultured bacterium. RNAcentral describes it as "partial 16S ribosomal RNA". It matches the Rfam family "Bacterial small subunit ribosomal RNA", at positions 28 to 507 of the family's 1533-position model. The record is from RNAcentral.
GACGAACGCUGGCGGCGUGCUUAACACAUGCAAGUCGAACGGAAAGGCCCUGCUUUUGUGGGGUGCUCGAGUGGCGAACGGGUGAGUAACACGUGAGUAACCUGCCCUUGACUUUGUGAUAACUUCAGGAAACUGGGGCUAAUACCGGAUAGGAGCUCCUGCUGCAUGGUGGGGGUUGGAAAGUUUCGGCGGUUGGGGAUGGACUCGCGGCUUAUCAGCUUGUUGGUGGGGUAGUGGCUUACCAAGGCUGUGACGGGUAGCCGGCCUGAGAGGGUGACCGGCCACAUUGGGACUGAGAUACGGCCCAGACUCCUACGGGAGGCAGCAGUGGGGAAUAUUGCACAAUGGGCGGAAGCCUGAUGCAGCAACGCCGCGUGCGGGAUGACGGCCUUCGGGUUGUAAACCGCUUUCGACUGUGACGAAGCGUGAGUGACGGUAAUGGGUAAAGAAGCACCGGCUAACUACGUG